Molecule: ribosomal RNA, 118 nt
Filed under: Triticum aestivum (bread wheat)
Lineage: Eukaryota; Viridiplantae; Streptophyta; Magnoliopsida; Poales; Poaceae
Source: RNAcentral
UGAUGCGAUCAUACCAGCACUAAAGUACCGGAUCCCAUUAGAACUCCGAAGUUAAGCGUGCUUGGCGAGAGUAGUACUAGGAUGGGUGACCUCUUGGGAAGUCCUCGUGUUGCAUUCC